Molecule: non-coding RNA, 2111 nt
Organism: Coturnix japonica (Japanese quail)
Lineage: Eukaryota; Metazoa; Chordata; Aves; Galliformes; Phasianidae
Source: RefSeq, a predicted model, not a curated record
GGAAACCACAACUACAAAUUGAAAGGAAACCUGCCCUUCAGGAUGUGCAGGAAACAGUAGACUGAAAGAAACUUCUUUACCUCUGGCAACCACAAGCUGUGUUGCUUUGAUGUAGAAGAGGAAGCAUAUUGCCAGUAGAUGCAGCAAAGAAAGGACUGACCUUCAACCAAAUAUUUAAGAAACACACAGAGUUUGAUGUGCUCCACACUGCAUGAUUCAGUGCAAAGGAAGCAUACCUUCAACAGGCAGCCAUCAGGAAACAAAGAUACAGCAGCACCAGAAGGAACGCCCCCCUGUAGAAUCUGAAAGUCUGAUUCAGAUUCUAGCUUUGUUUCAGGAGCCAUUUCAAGUCUCUAUGACUAGGAAAUCAGAUUCUGGCAUCCAUUUCUGUACCUCCAAAACCUUCUGAGCCUGAAGCUGGGGAUCUUCAGCAUGGAUUUUGAAGGUCUUACAGAUGUUUGGCAGAUGCUGUGUUUGUGAUAAAACUGUAAAAUUAAUCUCAACUUUUGGAUCCUUACUAAGACAAUCUUUAAAUCUUUGGUUUGUAUCAUUAGUGGUUUAGUGUUUGUUAUGAAAGGUAAUAUAUCUGGACUCAUUUAAUCUUAACUUCCAUAUCUUCAUAUCUUUUUGCUGUGAGAGCUUCCUGUUUCAUUAUUUGAUACUCAUUACUAAUUAUGGUACAUCUUCUUUUUAAGAUUUUUUUUAAGAGGGAGAUUCUUUGACAUGUUUGUAGUGAAUUUUUGUUCUUAUUAUCUAUUGUGCUGUCUCUAGAUGAUGUCCAUGCUUUCAGUUGCUUAUUUUCAUUUCCUCACAAUACAUUUUCUUUUUUUUACAUGCACCACUGCUAAUUGGAGAAUCAUAGGAUAUUUUUAUGUUGGAGGGCAACUUCAUCUUAUCACAGUCCCCUUGCAGUGGCCAUGGCUGCCAGAUUAGGCUUCCCAGGAUCCCAUCCAGCCCAGCCUUGGAUGUCUCCAGGGAUGGGGCAUUCAGAAAUAAUUUUGAGGUGUAGAGAAGUCAAACAGCUCAUGUCCUGCACUAUUUUCACAGACCGACUGGCACUUGUAUAGGAACUGCUGAGUCACAGCCUGAACUUCUGGUUGACCACCUGAGGUGAGCAGUCAGUCAGCCAUGUGAGCACAGGUGAAUGCAAUUCAGCUGUGUGAAUGGAAGGGGUGGAGCCUUCAUUUUUGAUUGUCUCUUUCCACCAUGAUAAUCUUUUUAACUAAUGUGUAAAAUAUAAUGCCGCUCUGCUAACUGUACUUUUGUUAAUUGUACGGCACUAAAAAAGAAACAAAUAAAAACAGAUCAUAAAUCAUAACAGGGAUGUCCUAGGGCUGUGAAGAACUUUCCCAUGGGAAAGAACUAAGUAAGUGACAAAGGGGAAAUACAUUCUCUGUCCUCCUAUUUGUGUCUUCCUAGACAAGAGAGAGGGACAGAAGGAUGUUCUCAUAAUUCAAAAGCUUUGUGUAGUAUAGAGAAGUACAGCAGUUAAGAACAAUACAGUGUAGAUCAUUAAGAUAAGAGGAAGUAAUCAAAUGAACUAAUUUACUAACGUCCAGGAAGUUAUUGCUCAGUAAUUUGCAGUUUCUUUGUUCAAUUGUGAAAUGCACAGGUUUAAUGUACUAUGUUUUAGUUUUUAGAACUAUGGAUUUUGAUCCUUUCCUCUGUUAGUCUGAAGCUGAUGGGAAAAUUAAAUUUUAACUAUCAAUUUGAUUAAUGCAGAUGCGUGAUGUGGUUAUGGGCAGAUAUUGGUUAAUGCCUUUCUUUGAGCCCUUGUGCCCACAAGAUGGUAGGCAUCACUCUAUGGUGGGGUAGCUCUGGCAUCUGAAACAGCAUGAUUUUUCAGUAAGAUAUAAUCCUGUUUACUCUGGUCAUUACAAUACAAGAACAGAGCACUAAUGCUUGGUGGAUUCUAAUCCUUGAUAUAUUUGUUUUGCUAUUCAUUAUCCACUAGGGGGAGCUGCUCUAGAAAUAUUGAAAAUAGGUUUUUUUCUUGUGAAUUUUGUCUUCUGGAUUUAAUUCUUUCUCAUGUUAAGCCUAAGGAAAUAGGAAUGGAAAUCCUGUGUUUGAAGCAUGCGUAUUGAUGCAAAAUAUUAAUCUUAAUACAUGCA